UACAGAGGGGGCAAGCGUUAUUCGGAAUUACUGGGCGUAAAGCGUGCGCAGGCGGCUUUGCAAGACAGAUGUGAAAUCCCCGGGCUUAACCUGGGAACUGCAUUUGUGACUGCAUGGCUAGAGUGCGGCAGAGGGGGAUGGAAUUCCGCGUGUAGCAGUGAAAUGCGUAGAUAUGCGGAGGAACACCGAUGGCGAAGGCAAUCCCCUGGGCCUGCACUGACGCUCAUGCACGAAAGCGUGGGGAGCAAACAGG
This 253-nucleotide ribosomal RNA is filed under the name uncultured bacterium. RNAcentral's name for it is "partial 16S ribosomal RNA". It matches the Rfam family "Bacterial small subunit ribosomal RNA", at positions 524 to 776 of the family's 1533-position model. The record is from RNAcentral.